RNAcentral lists this ribosomal RNA (253 nucleotides) under uncultured Zavarzinella sp. RNAcentral's name for it is "partial 16S ribosomal RNA". It matches the Rfam family "Bacterial small subunit ribosomal RNA", at positions 524 to 776 of the family's 1533-position model. The record is from RNAcentral. Lineage: Bacteria; Pseudomonadati; Planctomycetota; Planctomycetia; Gemmatales; Gemmataceae.
GACGAACCGUGCGAACGUUGUUCGGAUUCACUGGGCUUAAAGGGCGCGUAGGCGGGCGGCCAAGUCAGGGGUGAAAUCCCCCAGCUCAACUGGGGAAGUGCCUCUGAUACUGGCUGUCUCGAGGGGGAUAGGGGCAUGCGGAACUCUCGGUGGAGCGGUGAAAUGCGUAGAUAUCGGGAGGAACGCCGGUGGCGAAAGCGGCAUGCUGGAUCCCUUCUGACGCUGAGGCGCGAAAGCCAGGGGAGCGAACGGG